GAUCCUGGCUCAGGACGAACGCUGGCGGCAUGCCUAACACAUGCAAGUCGAACGGAGUCUUUCCGGAAGUUUACUUUUGGGAAGACUUAGUGGCGGACGGGUGAGUAACACGUGGGUAAUCUGCCUGAGAGACUGGGACAACAGGGGGAAACCGCUGCUAAUACCAGAUAAGCUCACGGGGACGGGAGUUCCUGGGAGAAAAGGAGAAAUCCGCUUUCAGAUGAGCCCGCGGCUGAUUAGCCAGUUGGUGGGGUAACGG
RNAcentral lists this ribosomal RNA (259 nucleotides) under uncultured bacterium. RNAcentral describes it as "partial 16S ribosomal RNA". It matches the Rfam family "Bacterial small subunit ribosomal RNA", at positions 15 to 263 of the family's 1533-position model. The record is from RNAcentral.